Non-coding RNA from Schizosaccharomyces pombe (fission yeast), 211 nucleotides. The record is from the annotation of a GenBank genome assembly. NCBI's taxonomy places the organism in Eukaryota, Fungi, Ascomycota, Schizosaccharomycetes, Schizosaccharomycetales, Schizosaccharomycetaceae.
UAACCAGAUCGUACAAAACUGGCAAAGGAAGUGAAACAUCAUAUUUGUAAACACCAGAGCCUGCUUUAGCUAAGCACUCGGUAAUACCUUCUCGACGUUCCCAAAGAACUCGCAAUUGGGAUUCAUCUUGAGCCAAAACGCCAUCUGAAAUAAUUUCUUUUUCCAAAAGAUCUUCAACUAAAGCAGUUAUUUUUUGUUCAUCGUGUUCCUU